This is a long non-coding RNA of Monodelphis domestica (gray short-tailed opossum), 1019 nucleotides long. RefSeq lists it as uncharacterized. Lineage: Eukaryota; Metazoa; Chordata; Mammalia; Didelphimorphia; Didelphidae. The record is from RefSeq and is a predicted model, not a curated record.
GUGGGGAGGCUGGGUGCCAGUUGACCCUGGAACUUGAGCCUGGAGGAGCUCCCUCAGAUGGCUUCCUUGACACGGUCAUGUGAGGAAGAGAGAGCCGAGUGUGAGCAUAGAAGAGGAAGCAGAGCUCUUCAGAGGCAGAGAGCCCGUUAAACACCAAAUUGUGAUCUUGCCCAGGUGGAGACUCAGAUAUUUGGCUUUCUUUUGAUGCAGUUGGAGUUGUCCAUUGCCUCAUUACCGCCUGUUGCCCAUGAACCAGAUUUUGGCAGCAUGGACCCUCUUUUUCCUGCUAAGUGUUAUUGUUUCAGUGAGAUGGACAAGAUGGAUGUCCAUCUGCACAGAGGGUGGGGGAUCUGGGUCAUGCAAUAAGAAUGUUAACAUGCCCCAGAUUGAAGUGACUUGCAUCCUUCAUUCCAUUUCUUCCAUUAAUGCCUCUUCUUCAGAAAAAAAAAAUAAAAAAGCAAAAAAAUCUAGUCUUCCUUCCUGCGACUUAAAAGCAUGUUGUCCUAGCAUUCUAGGUCAUUUUCCUUACUCCUGGGACAAGAUCUUAAAGUUCCCACCAUAGAGCUGACCAGAUGAAAGGGAUUUGUCCAUCUCUUCCAAAGACAGGGCAGGCGAGGGCAGAAGCAUAGCAACCAGCAACACAAAGAGAAAGGGAGGCUUUUGAUGUCCUUCAUCCCUCUGCUGGAUUAUAGGGUGGUGGUGUGGUCUAUUUUCAACACAUCUCUUGGAAACUUGAUUUAAUCCAGUGAAUCAUGUUUCCUAAGGAAAACUGACCAGAGGGCCUGUGGCUGCUGCCUCAUCUCCCUUCUUGCGCAUCCUUUCCUAUUAUGUCCACAUAAAGCAAACUACUUAAAAUGCUCCUAGAAAGAUUUCAUCUACUUCCUUCACCAUUGCAGGUUCGGCUCCUGGUAAUGUCCUGGAGAUUUAUAUAGCAAUCUGUGAAAAUUUCAGGGUAGGCAGACAAAUCUGAAGGUUGGUGCAAGAUGAGUUUUGUGGGCAGUUGCUUGUAAAAAGCAGGC